CUCUGGGUAGCUCAGUUGGUUUAGAGCAUCAGACUGUAAUUGGAAAUCAGAAUAUCUGAGGGUCGCUGGUUCGACUCCGGCCCCGGAGA
Transfer RNA from Fomitiporia mediterranea MF3/22, 89 nucleotides. It matches the Rfam family "tRNA". From Rfam's summary of the family: Transfer RNA (tRNA) molecules are approximately 80 nucleotides in length. Their secondary structure includes four short double-helical elements and three loops (D, anti-codon, and T loops). The record is from Rfam. Lineage: Eukaryota; Fungi; Basidiomycota; Agaricomycetes; Hymenochaetales; Hymenochaetaceae.